CUUCAUGUCCUCCCAGGUGAUCCCCGGUGGCAGCCAAUAUUCAUGACACCAAAGCCAUUCAUUCAGUGGAAGAGCCAUCCUGGAGGAAGAGGACAGAAAAUAAAUCUUAGGGGGAAAGGUGAUAAAAUGAGGCUGGAACCGGUGCGCUUCAGAGGGACCAAGGAGCAGCUGCGCAACUCACCAGCUGAGGAUGCUCUGGCAAUGUACUUCUGCAGGACGAGGGACGCUCUGUGAAGCUCAGAGGAGGAGCGGGGACCUUUUCAAGUUUGUGAGCAGCUGUGGCACUUAGCACACAACCUUUAAUGCCAUCCCCAGGGGCCGUCCCUUGGUCUUAGGUUUUGGCCUGGAAACCAGAGGAAUGAGAUGACCCUCAGCUGGCAACCCUGAAUGUCACAGAGGUGCAAUGACCAGUGGAAGACUUUAAAAUUUGAAACCCAAAUGCUGCAACACAACUGCACAGCGCAGGCAGAAGACCCCUUGGAAGUUUGGGGGCAUCACCUCUGUGUCCGGUUUCACCUAUAAUUUGUAAUAAGGUCCAAGAUCUGUCUUUCCUCCAGCAGGUUUGAUUCAGAAGAAGACCAACUUCCUUUCUCAAAGGUCCUCGGUUCAAAAUCCCUGCCUGAAACCCCAGAGAGCUGACCAUACUGCCCCAGAUGGACUCCAGACAAUGGCAUCUAUAUCCCAUGAAGAAAAAGAGGAGUCCUGACCACCCACCCCUUGCAAUUCGACUGCAGCUCCCAUCAUCCCUCAGCCAAAGGGCUAUGCUGGCUCCUGUGAGAUAUGCAAGCCCUGCCGUGGAGGAGCAGAGCCACCAUUUUCCAUGCCAAAGAGAUGCAGGCACCCCACCCUGGAUCAUGUGAGUUCCCUGGUAUCGGAAAGGAAGCUGUCGGGUGAUCACAACAGUUGGCCUCAGAAACGCCGCACCAGCAAGAUUCUCAGCCUCAGAGAUGAAGGAGGAAGCUGGAGGCAACAGCCUGCCAGAUAAUAUGGCUGGAUCCUUCCCUCCCCUUUGGCUCUUCCCCAGGAGACAAGCAAGGCAGUGUUCCCAUCAUUCUUAACCUGAAAAACGCAACUAAGCUUCAUGCCUUCCUUCCUUCUCUCCUUCAGCGAUAACCAGAGAAUCGUUCCUAGUCAUCUCACUGCACCUUAUCUAUCUUACUACGUUAUAUUUACAUCCAUCGGGGUCGGGAACAAGGCAGCCCAUCUCCAGAAGUUGUUCAACUGCAACAUCCAUCGUCCCUGUCUGUGCUGAUGGGACUUGCAGUCCUGCAGCCUCUGGAGGGCGGCACAUGAUUCACGCCCCAAAGAUUAAACCUGGCUGGCAAACUGGAGUUCUCUGCGGCAUCAGAAUGGCCAAAAACUAUUAGAGAAUAUAACAAAGAGCAGUUGUUUUGCUAUGUAAAAUUUCAAAAAAGUGUAAAUGAAGAAAGCUAGUUGUAAUAAGCAGAACUCUACAUUUAUUUUUAAAAGGCUCAGCUUAAUGAAUCUGACAAAAUGUUUCCCCUUACUGUGUCAUUUUCACCAGAAACCCAAAAGAAAGGCAGUAGGGGGAGUGGAGGAAAUUAAAUAUAUUGUAUAUUCCAAGAAAAGAGGAACCGUGGUGGCAGAGCAAUGAGAGAGAACGAAACCCAAGCUGUCUGUUUGUGGGACACCUGUUUUCAGCAUCUGUGAUGACUGGGGAUGAUGGGGGCUGUGGUCCAACACACUAGAAAGCACUGGAUGCUUUGUUUCAGAGGAAGGAACUGGCAAAACCACCUUUGAGGAUUCCUGGCCUAAGCAAACCUUAAUAAAUUCAUGGGAUUCCCAUAAAUUAACAGGCAACUUGAAGGCGCAUACAGAUACACACAAUCUGAUCUUGGAAGCUAGGCAGGGUCAGCCCUGGUUGGUACUUGGAUGGAGACCGCCAACGAAUACUCAGAGGAAGAGAGUGGUGAAAUCACUGCUCAAGAGAACCAGGCAACUUGAAGGCACAGCCACACAUGAAGCAGAAGGAAUAGUCCAAGGCAAAGAUAACAAAAAGGAGAUAAGCUUGAAUGGAGACCGGUAGGUGCAAAAGAGAAGCCAGAAAAUGCAGCGAGACACAUCCGAAGAGCCACUGUGAACCAGCCCAAAGGCAGCCUGUCCCAUAAUGGCCAAACUAGUUGCCUCAGACUGGCCAGAAAUGAAGGCAACUGGCCCCACCAUUUGACUUCUGGGGCAGGAGGCAAUGCAUAGCCACCCGGACCAACAGCUUUUGUUCGGUCCCAGUCCCUUGCACACAUCUCUGCAGCCCUCUUUUGAAGCUGCUGUAUGACAGCUGCCACUGCUGCAUCCACAAGCUCAGCAUGAGUCAACAGUGCAGUUCAGUGGCCAAGAAGCCAAGAUGGUCCUAGGUGGCAGGGAACAGGAGCAUCAUGUCCAAAUGGUCAGACCUCUCCUGGAAAACUGUGCUCAGCUCUGGGAACUAUAAUUCCAGAAGGGUUGUGGUUGUUGUCGUGUGCCUUCGAGUCCUUGCAAAACAGCACUCUGACAGGAAGCCGUGUUUUGUGAGUGGGGCUACGCUGCCGGCUCAGAAGCUCUGUCCCACACCCCUUAAUGUAAAAUGUCUGGGUUCAGCAGCGCCUUGUGGCUCCUCUCUUGCCCCAUGGGUUCAAGGCAAGGAGACCGGGGACACCGAGGUUGGCUGUGGGUCAAAGCAGUGACCCAUCCGGAAAGGCAGAACGUGGAGGGCGCAAUCCAAAAAAACAUGACACCCGGAUCGAAACUCCACUUUGAAGCCGGGAAACAUACAAUGCAGAGUGCUGCCUGGGGCCAGACCCCAUUCUUUGCAGGAUCCAUGAAUCAGAACAGAAGAAAUUACAAUCCAAAUUGGUAACCAAAAAAAGAAAAGGCCCCUUAAUUACAUUAAUGUAUUCAUUUAAACCAAAGCAAUCCCGGACCUUGAGAUGUCAGCAUGGAUUUAUUCACAACUAAUUACGGGUUUCAUUAAGUGCAUGGCAGGGUGUGCGCAGGAGGCAACUGGUUUUGCUGUUCCCGGCAGGUCCUUUCCUCAGAGCCUCCUUCUCCUGGAGGUUUGAUCAGGCCAGUUUUUGCCCUGGAAUGGUCCCUCCAGGGCUGGGACUGGACAGGGUUUGGGUCACGACAACGUACAAGUCCCGGGUGCGAUGAAGUGGGUUAAAGGCUUUGCAGGUUAGCCUUCUCAGCAACUGAGAAGAACAUUUGUUACUCUGAAGAAUCACAAAGGAGCCAUAUUACCACAUUUCCACGUGUCUAUAAAAUUGGAUUUAGUGGGACUUGAGCAUCUCCAGGGAGGUCCCGGAACCAAAACCUGGUGGAUACCAAGGGACCUCUGUAUUACAGUAUUAAAACACACCACUCAUUUACAACACAUGAUUAAAAGAGAGUAGUCGUCUGGGAGACCAGGGUUCGAAUCCUCUUUCUUUGGCUACGGAAACCCAGUGGAUGGCCUUG
Molecule: long non-coding RNA, 3450 nt
Organism: Sceloporus undulatus (fence lizard)
Lineage: Eukaryota; Metazoa; Chordata; Lepidosauria; Squamata; Phrynosomatidae
Exons: 5
Source: RefSeq, a predicted model, not a curated record